RNAcentral lists this ribosomal RNA (567 nucleotides) under uncultured bacterium. Its description in RNAcentral is "bacterial LSU rRNA". It matches the Rfam family "Bacterial large subunit ribosomal RNA", at positions 1513 to 2065 of the family's 2925-position model. The record is from RNAcentral.
CAAACGCGUAGGACGUUGAAGGGUGUAGGUAAGUCCGCACCCCGAGUCCGAAACGUGAUGGCGGUGCCUUAGAGCCACAAGUGAUUGAGCCAUGCCGCCUAGAAAAGCUUCUAAGCGUCGAGAUUUGAGUGACCGUACCGCAAACCGACACUGGUAGGUGGGUAGAAUAUACCAAGGGGAGCGAGAGAACCCUCGUUAAGGAAUUAGGCAAAUUUCCCCCGUACGUUCGCAAUAAGGGGGGCCUCUGGUGGUGAGCUUAGGCAGAGCCGCUGGAGGCCGCAGUGAAAUGGCUCUUCCAACUGUUUAACAAAAACACAGGUCUCUGCUAAGUCGAAAGACGAAGUAUAGGGGCUGACGCCUGCCCAGUGCUGGAAGGUUAAGGGGAGAGGUUAGGGGUAACCCGAAGCUUUGAGCCGAAGCCCCAGUGAACGGCGGCCGUAACUAUAACGGUCCUAAGGUAGCGAAAUUCCUUGUCGGGUAAGUUCCGACCGCACGAAUGGCGUAAUGAGAGGAGCACUGUCUCAACGAGGGACUCGGCGAACAUUGAAGGACGUGUGAAGAUACACG